AGAGAGAGACAUGCGCGCAUAUCAAUAAGCGGAGGAAAAGAAACUAACUAGGAUUCCCUUAGUAACGGCGAGUGAAGCGGGAAGAGCUCAAAUUUGAAAUCUUCAGGGUUCUACCUUGACGAAUUGUAGUUUAUAGAAGUGUUUUCUGUUAGUGGAGUGGCAAAAGUUCUUUGGAAUAGGACAUCAUAGAGGGUGAGAAUCCCGUAUUUGGUCAUUCCUCCUGGCGUUGUGAUACACUUUCAACGAGUCGGAUUGUUUGGGAAUGCAGUCCAAAAUGGGUGGUAAAUUUCAUCUAAAGCUAAAUAUUGGCGAGAGACCGAUAGCGAACAAGUACCGUGAGGGAAAGAUGAAAAGAACCUUGAAAAGAGAGUUAAACAGUACGUGAAAUUGUCAAAAGGGAAGCGUUUGACACCAGUGUUGUUUUUCCGAAAAUCAAUUACGAAUGUUUUAUUUUUGAGGAGUUAUGACUUCAUCGGCUUGCUCCUUUCUUUACUGAAACUUUCUUAAUGCACUUUUCGGUUAACAAGUCAACAUCAAUUUCUUUUGUUGUAAAAGGGUAUGAGGAAGGUGGCUUUCUUUUCGGAGAAAGUGUUUAUAGCCUUGUGCCUCUGCAAUCGGAGAGAUUGAGGUCUGCAGCGUAGAUCCUUCGGGGUUAGAUACGUUUGUGCUAAGUUAUAGCUUUUCAUAGACAACUUGUUGACUAUGUUUAGUCUUGUAGCUUACUCGCUGACGCUAUUUUACCUACGCUUAGGAUGUUGAUAGUCACAGCGUGUAC
RNAcentral lists this ribosomal RNA (775 nucleotides) under uncultured Neocallimastigales. Its description in RNAcentral is "partial large subunit ribosomal RNA". It matches the Rfam family "Eukaryotic large subunit ribosomal RNA", at positions 23 to 644 of the family's 3401-position model. Lineage: Eukaryota; Fungi; Neocallimastigomycota; Neocallimastigomycetes; Neocallimastigales. The record is from RNAcentral.